Molecule: long non-coding RNA, 2255 nt
Filed under: Gallus gallus (chicken)
Lineage: Eukaryota; Metazoa; Chordata; Aves; Galliformes; Phasianidae
Description: lncRNA (ENSGALG00010010250.1)
Source: RNAcentral
AGGAGUCAAGAAGCCAUUGAGCUAUUUUAGAGCUGUAGAGCUGGUCAAGCUGAGAUGCUUUAUUAUUUUUCCUUGUGGAUUUUUGGAUGGGUAACAGAGUCUACUUAAUAGAUAUUACUUCUUGUGCAAAUAAAGUAUGAGUCUUCCUAUUCUUUUAUGAAAUAUCCAGGGGCACAUCUGUUUGUGAUCUCUAGUGCUGUCAAGUUCAUUUGGAACUGUCAACUGUGUUUCCAGGAAUUUUAGGAAAUGAGGAACAAAGUCUUGUUAUUAUAGGAAGCUGAUCUGGGGAUGCAUUUUUUAAAAAUGAUGAAGAAAAAGCCCUUCAUGCGCAGAUUCUAAAUUAUUUCAAAUUUCUGUCAGGUAUAUAUUCACUGGGAUAUUUUUUUUUUCCAUUUCAGUGGGUAAGACGAAGAAGAAAAAAAAAAAAAUGUGGUUCAGCCUUUGAGAAUAAUCCUCAAUAUAGGAUAAGAUAGGAGACAAAAGGAUAUUGAGGGUUCUCUUCCCUUUUGAGGAUUUCUGGAAGUAAAUUUUAACAUUGCUGUUGGCACCAAGAGUCCCAUCACUGCUUCUCAUAAGUUCUCCUGCAGCACUGCUAUUGAUGCUGGUCUUAUAACAAGAAUAGCAUGGGACCAGAUCGCUCAUAGCCCUUAAACUGAAUGGCAAACAACAGCACAGAGAAGCAGAGUUUCAGCUAUAGAUAGAAAGGUUACUGUUUGUUCUUGUGUGUAUGUUAAUUUAUUCUCUGCAGAAGUGGAAAAAUGAGUUUAAUCCAAUUUUGGCUGACCAAGAGAAAGACAGGUAGUUUCUGUUGUUUUUUUCUUAUAAGACUCUUAACAGACUCUUUCCAACACAAGGGGUGGGGUAGGAAAAAAGCAAGAUAAACAGCCAACUUCCAGGUAAUUAAUACUCAUUACUCCUUCAUCAAAGAACAAAUGAGGUGUAGUGUUUUCCAUGUUCAUUUCUGGAGAUCCAAAUCUUGGGGUUUAUUUGAUACAAUAUGCAAUGCUGUGAAGAAAACCCAGGCAUCUUGCCCACUAGCCUUGUGCACUAGAUGUCAGAUUGCUGGAGAGAAUCAUUCCAAGCCUAGGUUUCACCACUGCUUUUUGCAUCACUGGCAGCAUAACCCUCUUGCAGAUUGAAUGAUCCCAUCUACAGCUCCUUUCUGCUUCUGAGGACCCAUACAGGACUGCAACAUCAACAUCUAGAGCAGAACAGUGAGGAUCACGGCUUGGAAUACAGCAACAGCAAAAGGAUACAGAAAAGAGAAGAAACGGGAAAGCAAAUUAUCUGGGGGCUCAUUGCCUGCAGCUCCUGUCAUCUGCCCCACCAGCAGCAGAAGUGUGGUGCCCACAUAUAAACACUGAGGAGACCUCUCCAUUUGAGUACCUCCACACUGUACUUUCCAGGACAAUAGGUUUGCCUUCAUUGUCAGUUCAGUGAGGUAAAGCUUUGGCUAAAUUUUUACAAGACUGACAUCGUUCAUCCAGCAAUAGGAAAAGUCUGCAUUUUUUACCUACUUGGUUUCAGAAGAAGGCUAAGCAGUUUCAGACCUGGAUGAAAGAUGUCUUGUCUGAGUCAGCAGUGCUCUUCUCCAGCAUUUUGCAAGGUGUUUUCUCCUGCUGGCAAAAUCAGAAAUAAUAACAACUUAUCAAGGUUUUUAAAGGGACAACACUUUGGUCUCUAAUGGAAAUUUACUUCCAUUCCACCUUGUUAAGAGUUUGUUUACAUGGAAAUAAAUAGAAGGCAUUACUUUCGGAGCAAUCUAUAUGCGACCCAAGAAAAUUCCUCAUCACUCAGUGUGACUCAGACAAGCCAAAAAGUUGGACAUCCAUGAUUACGAUGAUUGCUAACCUUAACAAGAUUGGGAAUAAGAGUGAGGACCUCAAUCCUCGGUCCCAGUUUCCUCGGGGGAAUCAAUCCUUCCAUUAAAUAUCCAAGGAAGUUGCCGGUGGAUAUCUAUCCACAGUGAAUCUGGUGGCCAGAGUAGCUGGGUACAUUGAAUCCUCUACUUCAAAAGUCGAUGAGGUGUUGUUACUGUGAAUGUAAAACACAUGGGAGACGGAAGGGAGAAAAAGAAGGUGUGUGUCAUUUUGCAAUCAGUUCCCUAGAAAAAAAAAAAAAAAAACAGAUUAAGGUUUCUAUACUCUGAAUUUUAUCUGCCUCUUAUAGAGCUGUCAGGUUGAACACAGCUUUUGUAUUUAACAAAAAUAAUCAGGUAGGCCAUGAAUUUUAAUAAAACAAGCAACAGCUCUGGG